CUUCUAAGGCCAGUCCACUCUCCCCUCCCCAAGUCAACAGUGCCACCUGCCACACACUCUGCACACCCCUCAGCUUCCAGGUUUGAAAGGAAAAUGGAAUCAAUCACUGGGCACACGGAAAGGCAAUGCUCAGGACAGAUUUCAAAGGCAACUCUCUCUUUAAGGCAGCAGAUGUUCCUGCGAUGAAGAACAAAGCCACACAACACUUUGGGAAGAUACGCCUCUAGCAUAAGGACAGGUAGUCCCAGGGAAGCCACAGAACCAGGCAAAGGUAAAUUUAGCCACCGGAUCCUCUCAGCCCGCACAUUUGGAGAGAAAUCAAGUUGCAAAGCACAGAACCAAAGUUUGCAUCAGGUAACACAUGCCAGUUGACUUUGCCCCAGUCCUUGAGCAUACAAAGAUGGGUAAAAGUACAACAUUUCUAUGCAAACGAGAGAGAUAAGAGCAUCCACAAAUUCAGGAAGAACACUGUGAAGACAAAGGGAGAGACCAGAAUAAUGUGUCUAUGUGGGAAGGAACACCAAAGACUUUCAGCAAGCCACCAGGAGCUAAGUAAAAAGCGUGGAAUAGAUCCUGUCUGAUAGGAUCCAGGAAGAAUUGAUCCUGGGCUCUUUUUUUUAAAACUUUGUGUGUAUAUGUACAUGGGCGUGUAGGGCUGAGGUAAACAAUAGGUGUCUACCUCUAUCAUAAUCCACCUUGCUUUUGGAGACAGGGUCACUCACUGAAGCUGAAGCUCACUGAUUCACCCAGCUACACAGUCACUGCACCCUGGUGGGGGGUUUCAGACCUAUGCUGCCAAGUCAGAAGUUUUCCAUGUGUGUGUGUGGGGGGGGGGGAAUCCAAACUCCAGGACUCCCACUCUCACAGCAAGUGCUUUACUCCCUGAGCCAUCUUCCCAGUCCUGUAGACUCUUUUGACCUUGGAUUUUAAGCUUCCUGAAUUGUGUGACAGUAAGUUUUUGUUAUGUAAGUCACAUAGUCUGUGGUGUUUGAUCAUGGCAACCCAGGCAAACUAAGUACAUGUGGGUGUACAAUAAUUCCUUCU
This is a non-coding RNA of Myodes glareolus (Bank vole), 1044 nucleotides long. NCBI's taxonomy places the organism in Eukaryota, Metazoa, Chordata, Mammalia, Rodentia, Cricetidae. The record is from RefSeq and is a predicted model, not a curated record.